GGGAAGUACGGGCUAGGGGAGGGGGGGAUAGGUAGGGGGUGAGCGUAGGCCUGAAUGAUUGGGCGUAAGGCGCACGGAGGCGGUUGGUGUCGUCGUGAGUGAAAGCUCCGGGCUCAACCGGGAGCGUGCUUCGGAUGCGGGGUGACUAGAGGUAUGAAGGGGAGAGCGGAAUUCCUGGUGUAGCGGUGGAAUGCGUAGAUAUCAGGAGGAACACCGGUGGCGAAGGCGGCUCUCUGGGCAGUAACUGACGCUGUGGAGCGAAAGCAUGGGGAGCGAACAGGAUUAGAUACCCUAGUAGUC
Molecule: ribosomal RNA, 300 nt
Filed under: uncultured Desulfurococcus sp.
Lineage: Archaea; Thermoproteati; Thermoproteota; Thermoprotei; Desulfurococcales; Desulfurococcaceae
Description: bacterial SSU rRNA
Rfam family: Bacterial small subunit ribosomal RNA (bases 53-300)
Source: RNAcentral